Molecule: non-coding RNA, 454 nt
Filed under: Ipomoea nil (Japanese morning glory)
Lineage: Eukaryota; Viridiplantae; Streptophyta; Magnoliopsida; Solanales; Convolvulaceae
Description: Bacterial large subunit ribosomal RNA
Rfam family: Bacterial large subunit ribosomal RNA
Source: Rfam by way of RNAcentral
UUUUCCGCGAAAUCUAUUUCAGUAGAGCGUAUGAUGUCGAUGGCCCGAGGUAGAGCACUCAAUGGGCUAGGGUUGCCCCAUUUCGCCUUAUCAACUCCAAGGAAACUCCGAAUACAGACCUAGAUCGUUUGUACAGACAGACUUUUUGGGUGCUAAGAUCCAAAAUCGAGAGUGAAACAUCCCAGAUCGUACGCUAAGGUCCCAAAGCAAUCACUUAGUGGAAAAGGAAGUGAUCGAGAGAUGACAACCAGGAGGAGGGCUUGGAAGCAGCCAUCCUUUGAAGAAAGCGUAAUAGCUCACUGGUCUUAGCUCCAUGGCACCGAAAAUGUAUUAGGGCUCAAGUGAUUCAACGACGCGACGAGACUUUGAAAGCUGCUGUUUUAAGUGUAAGUAGCGGAACGUUCUGUCAAUCGGGGAAGGUUUUUGGUGACAAGACCUGGAGAUAUCAGAAGUG